This 153-nucleotide unclassified non-coding RNA is filed under the name uncultured Chaetothyriales. RNAcentral's name for it is "sequence contains ITS2". Lineage: Eukaryota; Fungi; Ascomycota; Eurotiomycetes; Chaetothyriales. The record is from RNAcentral.
UCAUCCCUCAAGCUUGGCUUGUCAUUGGACUUCAUCGUUAAAGAUGGGCCCGAAAGAUAAUGGCGGUGUCGCGAUCGACCCUCGGUGCAACGAGCUUUGUAGCACGUAUCGUAGUGGUCGGCCGGCCCGGUCUUAACUCUAAAUUUUCUCAGA